This 440-nucleotide ribosomal RNA is filed under the name uncultured bacterium. RNAcentral describes it as "partial 16S ribosomal RNA". It matches the Rfam family "Bacterial small subunit ribosomal RNA", at positions 339 to 795 of the family's 1533-position model. The record is from RNAcentral.
CUACGGGUGGCUCCAGUCGAGAAUCUUCGGCAAUGGACGAAAGUCUGACCGAGCGACGCCGCGUGCGGGAUGAAGGCCUUCGGGUUGUAAACCGCUGUCAGAGGGAAGGAAAUUUUGACCGAUCCUCAAAGGAAGUACGGGCUAAGUUCGUGCCAGCAGCCGCGGUAAGACGAACCGUACAAACGUUAUUCGGAAUCACUGGGCUGAAAGGGUGCGUAGGUGGUCUAUUAAGUUGGGUGUGAAAUCCCUCGGCUCAACCGAGGAACUGCGCUCAAUACUGGUAGACUUGAGGGAGAUAGAGGUGAGCGGAACUGAUGGUGGAGCGGUGAAAUGCGUUGAUAUCAUCGGGAACACCAGUGGCGAAAGCGGCUCACUGGAUCUCUUCUGACACUGAGGCACGAAAGCUAGGGGAGCGAACGGGAUUAGAUACCCCCGUAGUC